AUGCAAUGCCUAAUACAUGCAAGUCGAGCGAUCAGAUAAGAGCUUGCUCCUAUGACGUUAGCGGCGGACGGGUGAGUAACACGUAGGGUAACCUAGCCUCUAUUAAGAUCUAGGGAUAACUCCGAGGAAACCAGGGGCUAAUACCAGAGAUAAUCACUAUUUGAACUCUGCAUUAGGUUGCAGAAUACUUUGAAAGAGCGGGNUUUCGGCUUAGUCAGCUUAAUUAGGAUAGGAGCCCUGCAGUCGCAUUAGCUAGUUGGUGAGUGUAACGNGCUCACCAAUGGCAGACGAUGCGUAGCCGACCUGAGAGGGUGAUCUGGCCACACUGGGACUUGAGACACGGCCCAGACUCCUACGAGGGAGNGCAGCACAGGUAGGGGAAUCUUCCCGCAAUGGGGCGAAAAGUCUGACUGGGGAGCCAACGGCCCGCUGUUUGAAGUUGA
RNAcentral lists this ribosomal RNA (443 nucleotides) under uncultured bacterium. Its description in RNAcentral is "bacterial SSU rRNA". It matches the Rfam family "Bacterial small subunit ribosomal RNA", at positions 46 to 392 of the family's 1533-position model. The record is from RNAcentral.